RNAcentral lists this ribosomal RNA (253 nucleotides) under uncultured bacterium. Its description in RNAcentral is "partial 16S ribosomal RNA". It matches the Rfam family "Bacterial small subunit ribosomal RNA", at positions 524 to 776 of the family's 1533-position model. The record is from RNAcentral.
UACGUAGGGUGCAAGCGUUGUCCGGAAUUAUUGGGCGUAAAGAGCUCGUCGGCGGCCUGUCACGUCGACUGUGAAAACCCGAGGCUCAACCUCGGGCCUGCAGUCGAUACGGGCAGGCUAGAGUUCGGUAGGGGAGACUGGAAUUCCUGGUGUAGCGGUGAAAUGCGCAGAUAUCAGGAGGAACACCGGUGGCGAAGGCGGGUCUCUGGGCCGAAACUGACGCUGAGGAGCGAAAGCGUGGGGAGCAAACAGG